This 217-nucleotide unclassified non-coding RNA is filed under the name Hevea brasiliensis (rubber tree). Lineage: Eukaryota; Viridiplantae; Streptophyta; Magnoliopsida; Malpighiales; Euphorbiaceae. The record is from RNAcentral.
UAGAUGCAACCAUUGGAUACUCAAUACCUGCUCCACACAGACCCAUGAGAAAAAUAAAAUCAAUACUUGAAAAAAUUAUCAUGAUCUAUAGAGCAAUAUCUACUGAAAUGGCAUCUUUAAGUGUUGCAUCCAAGUAUAUCAGGCCAUUCAGAGCUUUAAGCACAAGAAAACUUCAGGUCAAAUGAUUUUUUUGCCCACCAAUAAUAUAGAAAAGUAG